UUAAGAUAUAAAUUAUUUAAACUUGAGUAGUAAUAGUUAUAGUCUUGAAACUUAAAGAAUUUGGCGGUAUUUUAGUCUAUUUAGAGGAAUCUGUUCCGUGAUCGAUAAUCCCCGUUGAACCUUACUUAAUUUUAUAAUAUGUAUACCGCCGUUUAUUGAAAAUCUUUUUAGGUUAUUUUCUUAAUGCUUGAUUAAGUAAUAUUUCAGGUCAAGGUGCAGUUUAUAUUUAAGUGGAAAUGGAUUACAAUAUUUAAAAAUACAUGAAUUAUAUUUUGAAAUUAAAAUAUGAAGGUGGAUUUAAUAGUAAUUUUUUAGAGAUUAAAAUUUUGAUUAUAGCUCUAAAAUGUGU
RNAcentral lists this ribosomal RNA (349 nucleotides) under Rhabdoblatta cf. circumdata MNHN BL77. RNAcentral describes it as "partial 12S ribosomal RNA". Lineage: Eukaryota; Metazoa; Arthropoda; Insecta; Blattodea; Blaberidae. The record is from RNAcentral.